This 730-nucleotide ribosomal RNA is filed under the name uncultured bacterium. Its description in RNAcentral is "bacterial SSU rRNA". It matches the Rfam family "Bacterial small subunit ribosomal RNA", at positions 28 to 776 of the family's 1533-position model. The record is from RNAcentral.
GAUGAACGCUGACAGAAUGUUUAACACAUGCAAGUCGACUUGAAGCAAUUUCGGUUGUGGAAAGUGGCGGACGGGUGAGUAACGCGUAAAGAACUUGCCCUUCAGUCUGGGACAACCAUUGGAAACGAUGGCUAAUACCGGAUAUUAUGGAACGCUCGCAUGGGAGGAUCAUGAAAGCUAUAUGCGCUGAAGGAGAGCUUUGCGUUCCAUUAGCUAGUUGGUGAGGUAACGGCUCACCAAGGCGACGAUGGAUAGCCGGCCUGAGAGGGUGAUCGGCCACAAGGGGACUGAGACACGGCCCUUACUCCUACGGGAGGCAGCAGUGGGGAAUAUUGGACAAUGGACCAAAAGUCUGAUCCAGCAAUUCUGUGUGCACGAUGAAGGUUUUCGGAUCGUAAAGUGCUUUCAGUUGGGAAGAAGAAAGUGACGGUACCAACAGAAGAAGCGACGGCUAAAUACGUGCCAGCAGCCGCGGUAAUACGUAUGUCGCAAGCGUUAUCCGGAUUUAUUGGGCGUAAAGCGCGUCUAGGCGGGUUCAUAAGUCUGAUGUUAAAAUGCGGGGCUCAACUCCGUAUUGCGUUGGAAACUGUGAACCUAGAGUAUCAGAGAGGUGGGCGGAACUACAAGUGUAGAGGUGAAAUUCGUAGAUAUUUGUAGGAAUGCCGAUGGAGAAGUCAGCUCACUGGAUGAAUACUGACGCUAAAGCGCGAAAGCGUGGGUAGCAAACAGG